Molecule: ribosomal RNA, 890 nt
Filed under: Podaxis sp. B BHC-2016
Lineage: Eukaryota; Fungi; Basidiomycota; Agaricomycetes; Agaricales; Agaricaceae
Description: eukaryotic LSU rRNA
Rfam family: Eukaryotic large subunit ribosomal RNA
Source: RNAcentral
GGAUUCCCCUAGUAACUGCGAGUGAAGCGGGAAAAGCUCAAAUUUAAAAUCUGGCGGUCUCUGGCCGUCCGAGUUGUAAUCUAGAGAAGUGUUACCCGCGCUGGACCGUGUACAAGUCCCCUGGAAUGGGGCGUCAUAGAGGGUGAGAAUCCCGUCUCUGACACGGACUACCAGGGCUUUGUGGUAUGCUCUCAAAGAGUCGAGUUGUUUGGGAAUGCAGCUCAAAAUGGGUGGUAAAUUCCAUCUAAAGCUAAAUAUUGGCGAGAGACCGAUAGCGAACAAGUACCGUGAGGGAAAGAUGAAAAGAACUUUGGAAAGAGAGUUAAACAGUACGUGAAAUUGCUGAAAGGGAAACGCUUGAAGUCAGUCGCGUUGGCCGGGAAUCAGCCUCGCUUUUGUGUGGUGUACUUUCUGGUUGACGGGUCAGCAUCAAUUUUGACUGCUGGAAAAAGGCUUGGGGAAUGUGGCAGCUCCGGCUGUGUUAUAGCCCCUUGUCACAUACAGCGGUUGGGAUUGAGGAACUCAGCACGCCGCAAGGCCGGGUUUCGACCACGUUCGUGCUUAGGAUGCUGGCAUAAUGGCUUUAAGCGACCCGUCUUGAAACACGGACCAAGGAGUCUAACAUGCCUGCGAGUGUUUGGGUGGAAAACCCGAGCGCGUAAUGAAAGUGAAAGUUGAGAUCCCUGUCGUGGGGAGCAUCGACGCCCGGACCAGAACUUUUGGGACGGAUCCGCGGUAGAGCAUGUAUGUUGGGACCCGAAAGAUGGUGAACUAUGCCUGAAUAGGGUGAAGCCAGAGGAAACUCUGGUGGAGGCUCGUAGCGAUUCUGACGUGCAAAUCGAUCGUCAAAUUUGGGUAUAGGGGCGAAAGACUAAUCGAACCAUCUAGUA